This 207-nucleotide ribosomal RNA is filed under the name uncultured bacterium. Its description in RNAcentral is "partial 16S ribosomal RNA". It matches the Rfam family "Bacterial small subunit ribosomal RNA", at positions 568 to 774 of the family's 1533-position model. The record is from RNAcentral.
CGCGUAGGUGGUUCGGUAAGUUGCUGGUGAAAUCCCGGGGCUCAACCCCGGGGCUGCCGGCACGACUGCCGGACUUGAGCACGGUAGGGGCAGAUGGAAUUCCCGGUGUAGCGGUGGAAUGCGUAGAGAUCGGGAAGAACACCAGUGGCGAAGGCGUUCUGCUGGGCCGUUGCUGACACUGAGGCGCGACAGCGUGGGGAGCAAACA